CCAGGGAUGUGCCCAACCAGGGUAUCAUGUGCCAUUGAGGGGAUAGCAUUAGCUUCAAAACAGAGGAGCCAGCAGAAAAAAACAGAACAGUCAGAGAAGUUGAAGAAGACCUGAGGAUUUGUUUCCUGGAAUCUCAGAAAGGCAAGAAGGUGAUUAAUGAAGCUGCAAGGUGCAGACAAAUCAACCAGAAGUGAUCUGCUAAGACUUUGAUAUUGAAUCCUAGGACUUCCUGGGCCCAAAGGAACCUAUAUCCCUUCAUUACAUUUUUUCUACAGAAUGAGGCAUGUACCCAGGUGAGUACAGCCCCUUGAAUAGAACUAGUCACAUGGACAACCAAAUGGCAAGAAGGCAGGAAAAUGUGAAAAGAACAAAAAUAUUGAGUGACAGAUAUCUCUACUGCAAUUCCCAAAAGAGUCCUGGGUCUUGCAGGGGAUGCUGAGUCACCCCGCUGCAGGAGGGCAGGUCUGUGCACGCCCUGCUGAGGUCCUGGGUUGCACAGAACACACCGAGUCACCCCACUGCAGACAGGCAGCCACCUGGUUCCACACUACAAAGACGCAGAGGACACCAGACCACCAGACCAAGGUACUGAGUCCCGCUGCUCCCGGCCCAGAGGUAGGGGCUUCUGAGCUGCCAUCCCACUGCUCCUGGUCCAGAGGAAGGGGCUUCCCGGUCACCAUCCCUCCUGCUGCUCCCAGCCCAGAGGAAAGGGCUUUUAGGCCACCUUCUGUCCUGCUGCUCCUGGCCCAGAGGAAGGGGCUUCCAGGCCACCAACCCUCCCACUGCUCCCAGCCCAGAGGUAGGGACUUCUGAGCCGCCAUCCCACUGCUCCUGGUCCAGAGGAAGGGGCUUCCCAGCCACCAUCCCUCUCGCUGCUCCCAGCCCACAGGAAAGGGCUUUUGGGUCGCCAUCCCUACUGCUGCUCCCAGCCCCUGUCCCACCUCUCCCAGCUCAGAGGACGUAAUCCAUGCAGGCGGCAACAGCCCCCCCCCCCAGUAAAAAUGAGAAAACAUGUAAAUAAGUCUCAAAACCAGACUUCCAGAUCACCUGCAGCAACCCCAAAGGGAAAUGAGAUGGAACACUCUGAUACUCAGCCACCUGAACCCACUGAACUGGCAACAAAAGGGGAUCUGGAAAAAAUGAAAUCAGAAAUAAUUUCUCAGAUAACAGGAGAAAGUGUGCCCCUAGUGCAAGACAUGAUUAAUAAAUCUAGAGAGGAGCUGAGGAACAUGAUGGAAUCCCAACAUAAGAAACAAAUGGAAUCCAUAAAACAGAUGCAAAUAGAUUUCCAGGACAUGAAAAACUCCAUUGAAAGUCUACACAGCAGAAUGAGCCAAUGUGAGGACAGAAUUUCAGAUAUAGAAGAUAAGAUUGCAAUUAAUGACCAGGAAAAGAAAAAUUGCUUCAAAAUUAUAAGGG
Molecule: long non-coding RNA, 1419 nt
Filed under: Heterocephalus glaber (naked mole-rat)
Lineage: Eukaryota; Metazoa; Chordata; Mammalia; Rodentia; Bathyergidae
Description: lncRNA (ENSHGLG00100049692.1)
Source: RNAcentral